Molecule: ribosomal RNA, 348 nt
Filed under: uncultured bacterium
Lineage: Bacteria
Description: bacterial SSU rRNA
Rfam family: Bacterial small subunit ribosomal RNA
Source: RNAcentral
GGGCCCGCACAAGCGGUGGAGCAUGUGGUUUAAUUCGAUGAUACGCGAGGAACCUUACCAGGGCUUAAAUGUAGUCUGACAGGGGUGGAAACACCCCUCCUUCGGGCAGAUUACAAGGUGCUGCAUGGUUGUCGUCAGCUCGUGCCGUGAGGUGUCAGGUUAAGUCCUAUAACGAGCGCAACCCCUGCCGUUAGUUGCCAGCAUGUAAUGAUGGGAACUCUAACGGGACUGCCGGUGCAAACCGCGAGGAAGGUGGGGAUGACGUCAAAUCAUCACGGCCCUUACGUCCUGGCUACACACGUGCUACAUUGGGCGAGACAAUGAGAUGCAAAUCUGUGAAGACUAGCU